This 235-nucleotide long non-coding RNA is filed under the name Helianthus annuus (common sunflower). Its description in RNAcentral is "hypothetical non coding rna". Lineage: Eukaryota; Viridiplantae; Streptophyta; Magnoliopsida; Asterales; Asteraceae. The record is from RNAcentral.
UGGGUUGGAGAAAGUUAUUUAGAUAAACAUUAAGUGUAUAGAUAAAAUAAAUACAAAGAAAGUGUAAUAUUACAUACAUUAGUGACAAAAUGGAAUUACAAUUUAAAGAUAGUCGAGUUCCUUUGAAUAUGCAUAUCCUUGAAGUGGCCAAAACCUUUCUGAGUAAAUCGAUCCCUUCUACAAAAAGAACCAACCAAAAGGUAUGAGGAUAGUCUUUUAAUAUAUAAUUAAAAUC